RNAcentral lists this ribosomal RNA (676 nucleotides) under Acinetobacter baumannii. RNAcentral's name for it is "partial 23S ribosomal RNA". It matches the Rfam family "Bacterial large subunit ribosomal RNA", at positions 2255 to 2925 of the family's 2925-position model. The record is from RNAcentral. Lineage: Bacteria; Pseudomonadati; Pseudomonadota; Gammaproteobacteria; Moraxellales; Moraxellaceae.
UGUCUGGUGGGUAGUUUGACUGGGGCGGUCUCCUCCUAAAGAGUAACGGAGGAGUACGAAGGUGCGCUCAGCGUGGUCGGAAAUCACGCGUAGAGUAUAAAGGCAAAAGCGCGCUUAACUGCGAGACCCACAAGUCGAGCAGGUACGAAAGUAGGUCUUAGUGAUCCGGUGGUUCUGUAUGGAAGGGCCAUCGCUCAACGGAUAAAAGGUACUCUGGGGAUAACAGGCUGAUACCGCCCAAGAGUUCAUAUCGACGGCGGUGUUUGGCACCUCGAUGUCGGCUCAUCUCAUCCUGGGGCUGAAGCAGGUCCCAAGGGUAUGGCUGUUCGCCAUUUAAAGAGGUACGCGAGCUGGGUUUAGAACGUCGUGAGACAGUUCGGUCCCUAUCUACCGUGGGCGCUGGAAAUUUGAGAGGAUCUGCUCCUAGUACGAGAGGACCAGAGUGGACGAACCUCUGGUGUACCGGUUGUGACGCCAGUCGCAUCGCCGGGUAGCUAUGUUCGGAAGGGAUAACCGCUGAAAGCAUCUAAGCGGGAAGCCUACCUCAAGAUAAGAUUUCCCUAGGACUUUAUGUCCUCUAAAGAGCCGUUCGAGACUAGGACGUUGAUAGGUUGGAUGUGGAAGCAUAGUGAUAUGUGAAGCUGACCAAUACUAAUUGCUCGUGAGGCUUGACUAU